Molecule: ribosomal RNA, 822 nt
Filed under: Listeria monocytogenes
Lineage: Bacteria; Bacillati; Bacillota; Bacilli; Caryophanales; Listeriaceae
Description: partial 23S ribosomal RNA
Rfam family: Bacterial large subunit ribosomal RNA
Source: RNAcentral
AGGGAAAGGUGAAAAGCACCCCGGAAGGGGAGUGAAACAGUUCCUGAAACCGUGUGCCUACAAGUAGUUAGAGCCCGUUAAUGGGUGAUAGCGUGCCUUUUGUAGAAUGAACCGGCGAGUUACGAUUUGUUGCAAGGUUAAGCGGAAAAAGCGGAGCCGUAGCGAAAGCGAGUCUGAAUAGGGCGCAUAAGUAACAGGUCGUAGACCCGAAACCAGGUGAUCUACCCAUGUCCAGGAUGAAGGUAAGGUAAUACUUACUGGAGGUCCGAACCCACGCACGUUGAAAAGUGCGGGGAUGAGGUGUGGGUAGCGGAGAAAUUCCAAUCGAACUUGGAGAUAGCUGGUUCUCUCCGAAAUAGCUUUAGGGCUAGCCUCGAGGUAAAGAGUCAUGGAGGUAGAGCACUGUUUGGACUAGGGGCCCUUCUCGGGUUACCGAAUUCAGAUAAACUCCGAAUGCCAUGUACUUAUACUCGGGAGUCAGACUGCGAGUGAUAAGAUCCGUAGUCGAAAGGGAAACAGCCCAGACCACCAGUUAAGGUCCCCAAAUAUAUGUUAAGUGGAAAAGGAUGUGGGGUUGCUUAGACAACCAGGAUGUUGGCUUAGAAGCAGCCACCAUUGAAAGAGUGCGUAAUAGCUCACUGGUCGAGUGACCCCGCGCCGAAAAUGUACCGGGGCUAAACAUAUUACCGAAACUGUGGAUGAACCUCUUUAGAGGUUCGUGGUAGGAGAGCGUUCUAAGGGCGGUGAAGUCAGACCGGAAGGACUGGUGGAGCGCUUAGAAGUGAGAAUGCCGGUAUGAGUAGCGAAAGAAGGGUGAGAAUC